This 253-nucleotide ribosomal RNA is filed under the name uncultured bacterium. RNAcentral's name for it is "partial 16S ribosomal RNA". It matches the Rfam family "Bacterial small subunit ribosomal RNA", at positions 524 to 776 of the family's 1533-position model. The record is from RNAcentral.
UACGGAGGGUGCGAGCGUUAAUCGGAAUUACUGGGCGUAAAGCGCACGUAGGCUGUAUGACAAGUCAAGGGUGAAAUGCCACGGCUCAACCGUGGAACUGCCUUUGAAACUGUUUCCCUUGAGUAUCGGAGAGGUCAUCGGAAUUCCUAGUGUAGCGGUGAAAUGCGUAGAUAUUAGGAGGAACACCGGUGGCGAAGGCGGCUUACUGGGCUUAAACUGACGCUGAGGCACGAAAGUGUGGGGAGCAAACAGG